CUCGCUGUAAAACACACAUCUGUUCCCAUAGCAAAUCUAAGGAAAACAACAUGGGUUUCUCUGAAUAUACAAACAAAUUCAGUAGUUGUCAGGAUUUGCUUAUUUCUUGCUUACGAAAACCACUAUAGUUGCUCACUUCUUCCCCCCUUACUGUGUUUUUCUUGCAACAAGGGCGCAGUGCAAAAUCCCUGCAGGAGAUUAGAGAAACAAGGGGAAACACAAGGAGACAAAAGUUACACCUUCUCUCGAUCUAUUUUUUGGCUGUAGAUUUGUAAAUCACUACUUUCUUUAGUUUUUAACCUCUAAUGGCGCAGGUCCUUGUGAUGGGGUGGAGCCAGGGGAAGUGUUUCGCUGCUCGUCCUACUCUUUGCGAUCAGGAGGAGAGAAGCAUGAGAAGUGCAGCAUGUUUGCGUCUUGCAGGGUGGGUGGGGCAGGCAAAGGGACGCAGGAGACGGUGACCCCUUUCUUUCCAAAUCUGGAGCGAGGGGGGACCAAAACAUACCAAAAACGGGAGGCUGCCAGGGGGCGCUAGUGGGCAAAGAUUGCUCGCUAGUCGCGUCCUUUUUUUAAAUAUGCGAUUUUUUUAAAAUAAAAAUAAUUUUUGAAUACACAAACAUUUUAUUAAAAAUUCUCUUUUUUAAUGUUUGGCAUUUUUUGAAGUACCAAAUUAUUUAAAGUAGAAAUAAUAAAAAGGAAGAAGAAAAAAUUUAAAAAACGAAAUUUAAAAAUAGGUUCUAGUCUUUUGUGCUAUGAGCGCUUGAUGCACAUUUCUUGCUGUAGGAAAGAAAAUUUUUGCAUGCCUUAGGAAUGGUAGCUUCCGCUGUUUAAAGAUCAAUAUCGAUCUUUUUUUAUUAAGCAAACACACAUUUCUAUACUGAAAAAAUCUUUCGCCCCGCUUUAUAAAUAAAGCAACCACCGAGCACAAAGUAACAAGGUUCCAACCACACAAACACACGCACACAAAGCCACCACAGGCAGGUCUGACAAACACACACACAGACGAAACCCAGGUUCAGCUGCGGGCACAGCACAACAAGCCCAACACCGGCGCAAGACACACACAACAAAUGUAACGGCGAUGGCGAGGUGUAGAAGAUCUAAUCCAACUCCGGAGGUGGUGGGGCAUCCGGAGAGCCAUCAAGCGAAGCUGGGUGAUGAUGGAGGUGAUGACGUCUCUCUCCCGGGGACGGCUAAGCGGCCGCCAAAGCUGCAAGUAACCAGACCAUUUGAAUAAAGCGUCAGUAGCACGUCGAAGAGGAAUGCACUGAAUCACAAGUUUAUUCCUAAAAGUCCACAACGUCCAGGUUAGCACCCUGAUGACCAGCCACCUAAUGUGGCGAACUAAGGGAGCUAACGCCUGGAGUUCGGUGAAAAGAGCGGGGAAGUUGUUAUGGUCCCAACUUCCACCCACUAUUUUGCGGAAACAACUCCAUAGAAACCGCGCGGACACGCAGGUGAAGAAGAUAUGGUUCGAAUCCUCUUCAGGCCCACAGCGCGGGCAGCACCCAUCCCCUGGGCCGUCGCGCUUCAGGACCUCCACGCCAGAUGGGAGGCGGCCGCAAAUCCACUGCCACAAGAAAAUUCUAAUCUUCAAGGGGAGCCGAAUCUCCCAGAUGGUGGUGAGAGCCUCAUGACCCAGCGAAGGUGUGAUGGCUUGGUAUAGAGAUUUGGUGGAGAAUUGCCUAGAUGUCUCUAGCCGCCAUCUGGCACGGUCUUCUCAAACCUCAAGAUCAGGCUCGUGCAACGCGAUCCAUCCCAGCAGCUCAUGCCAGUCCCCGUUCUCAGCCGGGCCAAACGCUCUCCGAAACGCGAGUUGCCCUAAGUCAAUAAGGGCCGUCGCGACAGAGAUCCGCGGGUCAACCGCGAUGGAGAAUAGGUCGGGAAAACGUGCCGCGAGGGGUAAGUCUCCAGCCCAUCUAUCGAACCAGAACAUCGUGGAGGUGCCCGAUCCAACCGCGAUCGAGGUACCGAUGCGGAGGAUCGGCAGGAGCUGUAUAAUGGAUUGCCAGAACUUACACCAUCAAUGUAUAAUCCAUUGCACAUGUUUGGCUCUUCACCUAGAGAUAUUGGCUCCAAUAUAAGUAAUAUACAACAGAGUACUAGCAAACAUUGGGUUCCAACUAAGCUCACGCUUGAGGACAGGAGGUGUCACCGCAUCAGCUCACGCCUAAGGACAGAAGCUGUCACUAUUCUUCAUCCCAGGGGUCUCAUACUGUCCACCACCACCAGGGACGACUCCCUGUAGAUGCUUUGAUCGCUUCAGCGACCAUCACACAGAUGGGAGCCUUGUGCACCAGGCAAUGGGUCCUCUCUGUCAUGGGAUUGGCAUGUCUUCCCAUCCCCAACAUUCAUUGUUUUUCCGGCCUGAAGGUUUUGACAUAAACAAGAAACUCUGCCAUGAAAAAGCAUGAGCUAAUGAUUUUACUACAAAACAGACAUUUUGUACCUUGUCGGUAAAAGCCAUCCAGCUCUCUUCAGAAAGCUAUAUAACCAAAACUUCUUAUGUGAUCUAUGCCUCGGUCUGUUAGAUGGUAUCUGAAGCUUGAGUCCAUGAGGUUCCAAACAGAAGGCAAACAAUGCAGGUUUUGGGGUAGCCUUUUUCUUGGUAACCCUACAUUCUGUUUACUGCUGAUUCCCAUUCAUGUAGCUGCCAUGUAUAAAUCUUCCACAUAACAGGCUGAAAAUGAUAGGAAGUAAAAUCAGAUGGAGUAUGAACUCCAGUAUCAACAUUCUCUGUUGGGUUGAAAUGAUACCAUUUGGUAACAUAUGAGCAUCAUAGCUCAAAAGUGCCAUUUUCAAUCAUUUCCUUGAAAUCAUGAGCUUAAUUAUGCUUCUAUAAAUUCAACAUAUAGAAACCUACACAAUAUUAAGAACAAAAGUACUGACAUGACCAUGCACUUGCUUGGUUGCAACUUAAUAGAGCCCUACUGAAACAGAAACUCCAUGUAUAGUUACGCUACACAAAAGAAGCUGCCUUCUAAACUAUUCGAAGUAAGACGACACAAUGAUGCUUUGUUUUACUCGAUUGUUACAAAGAGCAUAAGAUUUUUUUCCCCUUUUGGGACCUUAUGUUAAGCGCAACCCUCCACCAGUUGCAGAGUUGGAAUAAUUUCAAGGAAAUUCACUUUGAUUAUCAAGACAAAAUAUGACAGGACAACGUUUGGAUAAUGAGAUUCUCAGCGAAAUUGAGGGUCCCAUAUUUUUNNNNNNNNNNNNNNNNNNNNNNNNNNNNNNNNNNNNNNNNNNNNNNNNNNNNNNNNNNNNNNNNNNNNNNNNNNNNNNNNNNNNNNNNNNNNNNNNNNNNNNNNNNNNNNNNNNNNNNNNNNNNNNNNNNNNNNNNNNNNNNNNNNNNNNNNNNNNNNNNNNNNNNNNNNNNNNNNNNNNNNNNNNNNNNNNNNNNNNNNNNNUGAAUAUAUUUCAAAAAGAUGUCACCAACAAGGUUUAUGCAAGGCGAGAGGAGAAAAAAUCCCGCCACAAUCCGGCAUGGAUUUUUUGGUCCGCCUUUGAAAGGCAGUGUGACCAAAGAGCAAGGACUGCCCUAAUUACAUCAUGUGGGGUUUGGUUUACCCCUCUAAAGGUCAUCGCAUUCCGUGCAUCCCCAAAUUUUCCAGAGCAGUAGCAGCAGAAUGAAGGGCUACACCGGCUGCGGCAGGGUGGGGUGGCAUGGCGAGCUCCACAGUUCCACAAGCUGUGAGGAACAUGGCUGUAGCCCAAGUGCAUCCCAUAUGGCAGCAGCAGCGGGGCAAGCAAAGAAAAGGUGAGCACGAUCUUUCGGCGCACCGUUGCAACGGGGACAAGAUGACGACUCGAUGAUGGACUUAUGGUGUAGAUUGGCUCGAGUGUUAAGCCUGUCAAGAUAGAACAACCAUCUGAACACCCGUACCCUGCUAGGAACCCUCGAGUCCCGUAUGUGGGCAAGGUUUGGGUCGGCCAUAUGAGAGGUCAAAGUGCGUUAAGUCGACUUGGGGGGUGAAUAGGUGAUUUUUACAAAUUCGUCACUAAGGAAUUUCAGGGUGAGGAAAUUCCUAAGUCACGAACUACUAGCAGUGGAAUAAGUACUCAUAUGCGCACAUAACAGAACAGAAUCACAGCCAUCAUGAUGAAAUGAAAACAAGCACAGAGUACACAAAGCGUAAACACAUGAUAAGCAGACUGAAGACAAACUAACUGAAGAAAUUGAACUGAGGAAAUUGAGAAAGUCUUUAGUCAAAGUCUUCAAACAGUAACGAUCAAGUACACAACACGGUAAUGAGGAAAUGGAAGGGUUGAGGAAAUAGAACCAGUUAUCUCGGUGAAGACAGUGAUUUGGUAGACCAGUCCCAACUGUUGUGAUAGUUGUACGUCUGGUUGGAGCGGCUAGGUAUUUCUUCGAAGGUGGCUGAGACCAGUCAAAGUCCUGCUUGAAGCCCAUCUGUUUAAGAUCUUAUUCACCGUAGAGAUGAGAUAGAACAGCCCAGGUGCGAUCAGAUACUUCAUGCAAAUAGUAAUGGUUCUUCUUCACUGAAUUCUGAGUGAUUGUCAUGUUCUGAAGAAUUGAACCAAACUGUCGCUUGACCCACUUAUGGUUGUGAUCGAACUUCUGGUGAAGACCGAGGAGAAGCUCAUGAUCAGUCAUCACCCUUGGAGCUGUGCCUUGAGGAUUUUUCUUUGAAGCAUUAGCAGCAGAGUCAUCAUUGAUGGAGUAGGAUGCAGCUUUGCGGAACUGUCCAUCCAAUGGACGAAUGCCUUCAUCAAUAAUCGCCGUCGCCUUGCCCUUCUCAUCAACUGAGGAAAAUUUCCGCUUGAGGACUUCAAUAGGGGGCAAGCAGCUGCCAUGGUUAAGAGUAUCAGCCUUGAAGUUGGUUUAAGACCUUUAUCUAAGGAAUCUCAUAAUCCAAGGAGCGUAAGGCUUCAAUUCAAAUGGUGACAAUGCAACAUUGGCCAGAGUCCUCAUGAAGAAAUCAUGGUAGUUGAUUGGAACGCCGUGGAUGAUGUUGAAUAGCAUAUUCUUCAUGAUGCCAACGAUCUCUUCUUCAUUAGAGUCAUGGCCUUUGAUUGGACUCAGGGUCUUGGUCAGAAUUCUAUAGACAGUCCUUGGCACCUAUAGCAAUUCCUUCAUGAGGAAAUUGGUUCUUGGGGCUUGACUAGGCUUCAGCGGCUUCAUCAACAUUUGCAUGUAAUGAUCAGAUAGCUCAGUUUCAUGGUAGAUGAGCUGCGCACCUUCAAGGGGAGGACUGACACACAGGGCAUGAAGCAAUUCAGAGGCUGGUGCUUUGUAAUGUGUGUUCUCUGUCAUCCAUUCCAACACCCAUGAAUUCACAUCUUCAGCAUUGCCGGUGAUGUGCAAUGUAGCGUAGAACUGAAGAAUUAGCUCUUCAUUCCAGUCACAUAUGUCGGUGCAGAAAUUCAGCAGCCCAGCGUCGUGAAGAACACUAAGGACUAGGGUGUAGCAAGGCAGCGAUUCCAUAUCCACAUGAGGAAUAUGCUCAUGGUCAAAGAUCUUGUCCUUAUCAAAUAGCAGUGAAGAGUAGAAGUUCAUAUGACUUGCGAUCCAAAAACGCUUGUAGCGAAGAUGAGCAGAGUCAUAUGGGUUGUAGUCAGUGAACAAUACAUGUUCAUGAAAGAAGUCAUCAACCUUGAACUUCUGCUUCUUUGAGAAGGGAUUCUUCGGCUUGGGAUGAGGAGUAUCAGUUAAUGUCUUCACAGCCUUAGGAGCCGCGGGCUGAGGAAUUUCAGUAGCAAUAUCUUCAGUGGCAGCCUGGGUCUCAAUCUCUUCAACAGCAUUAACAUCAGCACACUAGUGGCUGGAAUUUCUUCAGGGAUGGUAAGAAGAGACGCUUGAGGUUCAUCAGAGCCCGUAUGAAUUUCUUCAGUCUGGACUGGGGAAUGAGGAACCUGUUGCAGAGGGGUGAACAUUGGAGAGUUAGGGUGAUGACUUUCCCAAUAGUCAUUAUUCAGAACAGCAGUGGCGCUUCCAAUGUCCACGUCUUCUUCUUCUUCUUCAUCCAUUUCUUCAACACCGGCCUCUUCAGCUGUGAACUGAGGCAUGGACGAUGAUACCAGUGGGGUUGAAGGGAUGUUAUCCACUUCAAUUUCUUCGUCCAACUGCUUUGACGAAGCAGCAGAAGGAACAUCUUCAUCUGAUCCACUUGGGAUCUCAUAAUCCUCACCAAAGGGAACAAUUUCCUUUGAUGGCAUACUUGAGAGAGGAACAACAUCUAUAGGAUUAUCAUAGGAGCUUGUCAAAGUCUUCGCCUUCUUGGGUGCAGAAGACUCUGAGGAAGCAUAUGCUUUCCUUUUCUUCACUGCUGCUCGCUCCGUAGCUUUGGUUUUCUUCACUUCUAAUGCAGAAGGAAGAACAUGACUUCGUGUUGGUGCAAGAGGAGCAGAGGAAAUUGGUUCAUUUUCUUUAGGCGUAACUAAUGUAGUCGCCCUGGCUUGUUCAGUGUCUUCAGGCGCAGUGACAGAUGCUUCAGCUGGCCUGACUUGUUCUUCAGACGCAACACUAGUGGUUGCCCUGGCAAUUUCAUCAGCGGCUGGAAUAGCUUCAUCAGACCUGGUACUUUCAGUUUCUUUAGCAACCUGAUUUUCAUCAGCGGUGCUGGCAUGUUCUUCAGUAGGCUGUGCAGAUGCUUCAACCUGAGGAAUUUUAAUGUGUGUUUGAGCAGCAACAUUUGACGUAAAUCCCUUCGCCAAUUUGACGAAUCUGACUUUGGCUCCAAGCCAGUAUGCAUGGUAGGUAUCAAAUUCAUCACUGCGGUUUUUGAUCUCAGCUUGUGUAGCUACAAGUUCAUCAGUUGUCAUUUUGACAAUGUUCUUUUUCAGAAAACACUCCUUUUUGUAAUGAGCUUUCUUCAACUGCCUGGCCUUCUCAAAUUUCCAUUUGUCUUCGCCGAUGAAGGCGGUCAGCAUGUGACUUUGGCCAGGAGUGAGCUUGAAAUCAGGCAUAGGAGUGUUGGGGUCCUUGUGCUGGAGAUCAAUGAAGUCCAGGAUCAGCUUGGGAUCCAACAGAAGAGGCACAUCUGUGCCUUUGGCUCUAGCGGCCCUUUGCUGUCUAUCUCUGAUGAUUUCUGCGAGUUCUUCAUCAUCAACUUCGUCUUCACUGGACGGUACUUGGAAGGCUACCUGCUUCUUAUGAGGACUUGGUCUAGUGCCUUGUUCAGCAGUAGCUUUGGUCUUCAGCAAGGUGGGGCCUGUUAAGGACAGUGGAGGAGCUGAAGAACUUGCAGAGGCUCCUGAGGCAAUUGAAAUGCCUGUGGUCCUUUGACACGAGGCAAGAUGCACAGGUACUGAGGACUUUGCCGAAGGAGUAGAGGGCUUUGCAAUUGGAGGCACUGGAGCAGCUUGAGGAAUUUGCCGUGAGGGCAUUGAUGAGCUUGGCCGCGAGGGCAUUGGUGAAGAGCUGGGUUUGUGAGCUGGCUUCUUUUGCAUAGACUUCCUUGGCUUGCUAGCAGAGGCCUCAGCAGCGACAGCAGCAGAGUCUUCGUUGAAUUUCCUUACUGCUUCCUUGGCCAUUUUGGCCAGUUUAGCUUGCUUCUUAGCCCAUUCGUCAGGAUAGUCCUCACCGCGCUUGAGGCUAGUGGGAUCAACAAGUUGGCCUGGUGCCAACGGAGGUCUUGGGCAAGGAGGGUGAAGAGCGAAUUUCUUCAUGUACUUUGGAGUGACAUAACGGUAUUCCCUCCAUUCCCGUGCCCAUCUCCUUUCCAUCCUUUGGAUGCGCACCUUGCGUUGAUUCUUGUUCUCCUUGCCAUACUUGGCUUCAUCAGGAGUACAAUAUUCUUCAUAGAUGUCAUCUGGAUCUCAAACGCUGUGUUAACUUCCGGUUUCUUGCCUCCCUUCUGAGGUUUCUUGCCAUCUGCCAUUUUCUUCAGCUGAGGAUUUUGAACAAUUGAGUUCUCUGAAGAGGUAUGUAAUUUGUCUUCGAGGAACGCUGCAAAUGAGUUAAGUUGAUGAGAACCUAGUGAUUCAGCAGCGGACAUAUGUACCUGUGAAUAGAUUAUAGGUGCGAAGAAUUUGGAGAGGUCAUAUGCGUUCUUAGAAGUUUUUGCAAAAAGAACAAGUUUGAGGAAUUUGACCAGAGGUGUCUUGAGGAAUUUCACUAAGCAUUUUUGACUUAGGUUCCAGAGUUGUAUAGAUUGAAAAUCCACACAAUUGAGGAAUCUUGAAGAAAAAAUAUAGCUUAGAGAAACAAAUCAAGAAGAGAUGCUUGUGUGAGGUGUUUAAAGUGUGGAAGUUGAAGAAUAAACACCUUUUGAAGAUUUUGUAGAAAUCAUCUGAAUCAACAAGAACAUUAAAAGUAACUUUUAAUUACCCUUGACGAAGAACACGACGAACUGAGAGUAGUAGAUUGGAAGUUCGUCAGUCCAGAUCUUCCACACCCUAACUUGGCAGAGGAAGACAACUACAGCGGCGGCGGAGGGAAGAUAUCCGCGGCCGGCGCGAGUAUGACGACGACGAGGUUGAGGCAGUGAAGCUCUUCCUCACCGGCGAUGAUGAGAGUAGCAGCGGCGCUAGGUCUUGAGAGCUCGAGCGAGGGAAGUGAGGUCGAGCAGGGUAAAUGCAGUCUAAGGAGGGUGAGGGGUAUAUAUAGCCGAGGUGAAAAACCGCUUGCCAGAGGAAAUUGGACGAAUGUGCCCCUGACCUUCUCAUCCUAGCGACAUGUGUCACCCACGUAUAGAGCGGUGGAGAUCGUGGGUGAAUAGAUAAAUUCUAUUGUGGGAUGUGAAACGGUUUGAGCGGCAAAAGCCAAAAAUUCAGAUUAGAAAGUUUUAACGAUUCGUUCGCAAAUUCUUCAGCUGACAAGGACAUAGUGAAGAUUUUGAACGGGUUUCAAAUAGAAUGCACAUGACGAAUUUGUGAACAGACUGGGUUGAAUAUAGCAUAGAGGGGGAAUGGUUCGAUCACAUUUACUUAGCAGAAAAGGCAACUUGAAGAUUUAGCAAUAAGUGAAUGCUGUGGAGGACAUAAAACUCAUAUAUAUAUAUGUAUGUAUGUAUGUAUGUAUGUAUGUAUAUAUAUAUGUCAACGAAGAACAACGACGGAAAGAGUGAAGACUAUGCAAAGUUGAAGAAUUUGAACAACUGAGGAAUUUCAGAACUAAAAAACUCAAAUUGAAGAUUUUCAACUUUUGUUGGUGGCGUAACCCACCGUAUAAGAAUGAUGAUCUCAGACGCCGCGUACAAUUGUCGUAGGGCUCGGAGAAUCAAAUUCUUCGUUAAUUUUUGCACACUUAGAGGGUUAGUCUUCAUUGAUUGAAGAAAAAUGUUACUUCGUGUGUUGCACAUCCAAGUCAUCAAUUUUGUAAUAGUGUUAGGAUGUGUGUCCUUUUCAAAGGACAUUCGAAGAUUCUAAGAUAUUUAGCUCACACCACAACUUGCUAAAUCUCUUCUCAUCCAAGGGCUUUGUGAAGAUAUCAGCUAGUUGUUCUUCAGUCUUCACGUGCUCGAUAGAGAUGUCGCCCUUCAACACAUGAUCACGAAGAAAAUGAUGACUAAUCUGAAUGUGCUUUGUCUUCGAGUGCUGAACUGGGUUAUGAGCAAUUUUGAUGGCACUCUCAUUGUCACAGUAGAGAGGCACAUUCUUCACAUUGAUGCCGUAGUCCUUGAGGGUUUGCUUCAUCCAUAGCAAUUGAGCACAACACGAACAAGCAACAAUGUACUCAGCUUCAGCAGUAGAAAGUGAUACACAGUUCUGUUUCUUCGAGGACCAACAUACCAAGGAUCGUCCGAGGAAAUGGCAUGUGCCUGAUGUUGACUUGCAGUCCACACGAUCACCAGCAUAGUCAGAAUCUGAAUAUCCAAUGAGAUCAAAAGCCAAGCCCUUGGGGUACCAUAAUCCAAGUGUUGGAGUGUGAGCUAGAUAUCGAAGAAUAUGCUUCACAACCUUAUGGUGUGAUUCCUUCGGUGUAGCUUGAAAACGGGCACACAUGCAAACACUAAGCAUAAUAUCUGGCCUAGAUGCACAUAAAUACAAUAAAGAGCCAAUCAUGGAGCGGUAUACCUUUUGAUCGAAGUCAAUACCAUUUUCAUCAGUGCAUAGAUGGCCAUUUGUAGGCAUAGGGAUUUUGACGCCUUUGCAAUCUUGCAUGCCGAAUUUCCUCAAUACAUCCUUGAGGUAUUUCUCCUGAGAUAUGAAGAUGCCAUUGCGCUGUUGACGUAUUUGAAGACCUAAGAAGAAUUUCAAUUCUCCCAUCAUAGACAUUUGAUAUUCUUCACUCAUCAUAUAGGCAAAUUCAUCACUGUAACGUUGGUCAGUACAACCAAAGAUGAUAUCAUCAACAUAUAUUUGGCACAUGAAUAAUUCAUCAUCAUAGGUUUUGGUGAAAGAGUUGGGUCAAGUGAACAGGGUUUGAAGCCUUUCUUCAUGAGGAAUUCCUUCAAAGUAUCAUACCACGCCCGAGGGGCCUGCUUGAGGCCAUAGAGGGCCUUAUUGAGUCUGAAGACUUUGUCAGGAUGCUUUGGAUCUUCAAAACCUAGGGUUGAGCAACAUAUACUUCUUCCUCAAGCUUACCAUUGAGGAAUGCACUUUUCACAUCCAUUUGAUAUAAGUUAGCAUAAGAAAGCAAUAUGCGAAUAGCCUCAAGUCUAGCAACAGGUGCAAAAGUCUCAUCGAAAUCAAUUCCUUCAACCUGUGUGUAGCCUUGAGCUACAAUCCGUGCCUUAUUCCUCACCACAAGGCUAUUUUCAUCUUACUUGUUGCGGUAGAUCCAUUUGGUGCCGAUGAUAUUGUGCUUGCGUGGGUCUGGUCGCUUGACAAGUUCACAGACAUUGUUGAGCUCGAACUGAUGUAAUUCCUCUUGCAUAGCUUGAAUCCACUCAGGCUCCAGAAACGCUUCAUAUCCCUUUGUGGGCUCUGUGAUAGAGACGAAGGCAAAGUGCCCACAAAAGUUAGACAAAUGUGAAGCUUUUGAGCGUGUGAGAGGACCUGGUGCGUUGAUGUCGCUGAUGAUUUUCUUAAUCUGCACUUCAUUUGCGACGCGAGGAUGAGUGGGUUGACGACGAGGAAUUUGCUCAGCAUGUUCUUCAGAGCCAUUUUCUUCAGGUGCACCAAGAUGAUGUUCUUCAGGAUCUGGAAUGACUUCUUUAGCAGAUUCUUCGAUAGGAAUGACAUCCUCAGUAGCCUUGAACUUGAUGGUUUCCUCAGGCGACUUCUGAUCCUGUUGAUGGUGUGGCACGCAGUAUCAAUUGCCUCAAUCCAGAAGUGAUGAGGCGUCUUGUAUCGUCAAGCAUAGUGUGAGCCAUCUCAACAAGAGUCUGAUUCUUGCGAUCCAUGAUGCCAUUCUGCUGAGGAGUACAAGGAGCAGAUAACUCAUUAGUAAUACCAAGUUCAUCAAGACAAUCAUCAAGACCCGUAUUCUUGAACUCGGUCCCAUUAUCACUUCUGAUGUGCUUGAUCUUCACACCAAAGUUGGCUGAAGCCCUCAAGGAAAAUCGUUUGAAGACUUCCCGCACUUCACGUUUGUAAGUGACGAUAUGCACCCAUGUAUAAUGAGAAUAGUCAUCAACAAUAACAAAGCCAUAUAGAGAUGCUUCAUUGGUGAAUGAGGAAUAGUGAUUAGGGCCAAAGAGAUCCAUGUGAAGCAAUUCAAAUGGACGAGUGGUAGUCAUGAUAGUCUUUGCGGGAUGCUUGGCCUUGGUCAUCUUUCCAGCUUCACAAGCUCCGCACAGGUGAUCCUUGAGGAAUUUGACAUUCUCAAUGCCAAUGACAUGCUUCUUCUUCGCAAGCGUGUGCAAGUUCCUCAUGCCAGCAUGACCAAGUCGUCGAUGCCAUAGCCAGCCUUCUGAAGCUUUUGCAAGUAGACAUAUAGCAGGUUGUCCUGUAGAGAAAUCAACAAUAUAUAGAUCUCCUCUCCUAAAGCCUUCGAAGACUUUGGAAUGGUCAGCUUCCAUGAUCACAACAGAAAGAUACUUGCUAAAGAUAACAACCGUAUCAAGAUCACAAAGCAUUGAGACUGACAUGAGGUUGAAUCCUAAGGACUCGACAAGCAUGACUUUAUCCAUGUGUCGAUUCUUUGAGAUCACAACCUUACCUAGACCAAUACCUUGCUUUUGCCUUUGUCAGCAUAGGUGAUAUGCUUUAGAUGAGAUGGAGAUAAGGGAGCGUCCAUCAAUAAGUUCUUGUCACUAGUCAUGUGAUUUGUACAUCCACUAUCGAGGACCCACUCAGUGGCUUUGGGUUGAUCAUCCUGCAGAUGAAUUAGUGCAACUUACGAACUCAUAUAUUUCAUCAGUGAAGAAUAUGAAAUCAAUUUCAUCAGAUCAAAUUCAUCAAGCAAUAGAACAGAUAUAGCAGUAUAAGGACGUGAGAAAUGAAAAUUCAUUUCCUCAUGAUUAGCUUGCGUCCUUUCAAGCAUAUUCCAGGUCUCCAGCAAAUUCUUCAGACGUUUAGGUUCAUCUGGAGACCUGACCCCGCACAAGAGAUUAGAUAUUUUUCUUCACCGAGUUCAUCAUUCUACGUGCUCCAUAAGAGAAAGGUGGCAUAGAUGCCAAUCCACUUCGUUUCACAUAAGAGGAGUUAGGGUAAGCAUAUGAAUAAGCAGAGAAAUACUUCGAGGACUUAUGAACAUAAUGAUUUGAAGAAUAAUGCACAUAUUCACAGCCCUUAGAUGUUCCCUGCGAAACAGAAGUGUUAGCACGAUGAUGUUCAUAUGAGGACUUUGAUCCAUAUGAGGAAUUUGAUCCACGUGAGGAAUGUGGUCCAUAUGAGGACUUGGAUCCAUAUGAAAACUUUGGUCCAUAUGAAGAAUUUGAUCUAGGGUUCCUAUUCUUCACAGGUGGUGUCAUGAUAACAUUCACCUGAAGACUUUCAAGUCACCUUUUGGGAACCCAGAUUUUCUUCAUAGGGGGACCGUUCCUGCAGUUAGUGCCAACAUAUCUAGCAAAUACUUCACCAUUCUGAUUUUUGAACAGCUUAUAGUUGGAGUUAAAUGACUCAUCAGAAGAAUAUGAAGAUUCACAUGUAAAGCCAGAUAAAGUGGAUGGAUCUACUGGAGGUCCCUUUACAGCAACCCAUGAAGUUUUGGGAUACUGCUCAGACUUCUAGUAUGUUCCAUCAGCAUUGAGUUUCCUCUCAAAGGCAAUACCCUUUUUCCUAGGGUUCUUGUUAAGGAUCUGCUUUUUAAGCACAUUAUAAAGAGCCUGAUGCCCUUUGAGGCUUUUGUACAUGCCUGUCAUAUACAAUUCCUUCAGCCCUGCAUUGUCAGUGAUACUAGCAACAUCCUUAGAUGAGGAAUUAGUGAUAGCAGAGACAUGUGAAGAAUUUGCAGCAAUAAAAGCAUUUGAACUUUCAGGUGAAGAAUUAGCAGAUUCACGUUCAAUGCACUUCAAACAUGGUGGAAUGAAUUCUUCCUGAGCAGCGCUGAUCUGUUGAGCAAGUAAUGAAUCUCGGUCUUUCUGAAGAUCUUCAUAACUCACCCUUAGCUUCUCAAAGUCUUGCUUUCUUUGAAGAAAUUCAUAAGAAAGCUUCCCAUGAUCAAAUAAGAGGGUGUUAUGAUGACUCUGAAGGUUAUCAAACCUGGACUGAAGUCUCUGAAGACUUUCAGUCAAAGUUUUGGUGCGAUCCAUUUCUUCACCCAACAUAUGAUCGCUUUUGUCUAGCAUAUUUUGAACCUUUUCAAAAGCCUUUUGUUGUUUCACAGCAAUCUUAGCAAGUUUAUAGUAGCUAGGCUUGAGGUUUUCAUCAGAUUCAUCCUCACUUGAUUCAGAGGAGGGAUAUUUGAGUACCUUGGCACCCUUUGCCAUGAAGCAAUAGGUGGAAGCGUAGUCAUCGCUGUCGUUAGCCGUGUUGGAGAAGUCAUUCUCCUCAGAGUUGAAGAUGGACUUGCUGACGAAUGCAGUAGCGAGGGAUAGGCUCGCCACACCAGAUUCUGACUCCUCAGAUGCAUCUUCUUCCUCAUUUUCCUCAGAUUUAGCCUUGGAGUCCAUUUCCUUGCCAAUGAAUGCCCGAGCCUUCUUGGAGCUACUCUUCUUGUGAGAUGAAGACUUCGAGGAUUUUGAUGAUGAGGACUUUGAAGAUUUCUUCUUCUUCUUUGAGUCAUCAGAACUGUAGUUCUUGUAUUUCUUCUUCUUUGAUUCCUUUUCCCACUGAGGACAAUCUUGAAUGUAGUGACCAGGUUUCUUGCAUUUGUGGCAAGUUCUCUUUUUGUAGUCACGGGAUGAGGAAUCUGAUCUCAUGUCAUCAUUUCUUGAGGAUUUACCAAAGCGACCACAUCUUGAAAACUUCUGGAAUUUUCUCACGAGCAUUGCUAGAUCCUAGCUCAGCUCUUCAGGAUCACCAAGGAUGCUACCAGAAUCCUUACCUUCAGAUUCAGAUACCGCCUUGGCCUUCAGAGCACGUGAGCUGCCAUACCUCGGUCCAUAGAGAUCUCUCUUCUCAGCAAGCUGGAACUCAUGAGUGUUUAGCCUCUCGAGGAUAUCAGCGGGAUCAAGUGACUUGUAGUCUCCAUGUUCUUGUAUCAUCAGUGCAAGGGUGUCAAAUGAGGAAUCAAGCGAUCUCAGCAAUUUCUUCACCACCUCAUGGUCGGUGAUGUCAGUGGCACCAAGUGCUUGAAGCUCAUUUGAAAUGUUAGUGAGGUGAUUGCUACUUCUUGAGCAUGUGUUGGUUUUCCCUUGAAGAGGAAAGAGUGAUGCAGCAAAGUAGAGUAAGUAUUUCCCUCAGUUUUUGAGAACCAAGGUAUCAAUCCAGUAAGAGACUAUGCACAAGCCACAUAGUACCUGCACAAACAAUCAAGAACCUUGCAACCAACGCGAUAAAGGGGUUGUCAAUCCCUUCACGGUCAAACACAAAAGUGAGAUCUGAUAAAGAUAAUAAGAUAAUAUUUUUGGUAUUUUUGUUGUAUAGAUUGGAAAGUAAAGAUUGCAAAAUAAAAUAAAAGGAAACUAAGAUUGUAGAUUGGAAACUUAUAUGAUGGAAAAUAGACCCGGGGGCCAUAGGUUUCACUAGUGGCUUCUCUCAAGAUAGCAUCUAUUACGGUGGGUGAAUAAAUUACUGUCGAGCAAUUGAUAGAAAAACGCAUAAUUAUGAGAAUAACUAGGCAUGAUCAUGAAUAUAGGCAUCACGUCCGUGCCAAGUAGACUAAAACGAUUUUGCAUCUACUACUAUUACUCCACACAUCGACCGCUAUCCAACAUGCAUCUAGAGUAUUAAGUUCAUAAGAACAGAGUAACACAUUAGGCAAGAUGACAUGAUGUAGAGGGAUAAACUCAAGAAAUAUGAUAUAAACCCCAUCUUUUUAUCCUUGAUGGCUGCUGCCCCUAUUGUCACUGGGAAAGGACACCGCAAGAUUGAACCCAAAGCCAUGCACUUCUCCCAUCGCAAGAAAGAUCAAUCUAGUAGGCCAAACUAAACUGAUAAUUCGAAGAUAUUUGAAAAGAUAUCAAAUCAUACAUAUAAGAAUUCAAAGAAGAACCAAAUAUUAUUCAUAGAUAAACUUGAUCAUAAAUCCACAAUUCAUCGGAUCUCGACAAACACACCGCAAAAGAAUAUUACAUCGAAUAGAUCUCCAAGAAGAUCGAGGAGAACUUUGUAUUGAGAAACAAAGAGAGAGAAUAAGCCAUCUAGCUAAUAACUAUGGACCCGAAGGUCUGAGGUAAACUACUCACGCUUCAUCAGAGAGGAUAUGGUGUUGAUGUAGAAGCCCUCUGUGAUCGAUUCCCCCUCCGACGGAGCGCCGGAAAAGGCCCCAAGAUGGGAUCUCACGGGUACAGAGAGUUGCGGCGGUGGAAUAUUUGCUUCGUGGCGAACUUUUUUUUCACGAAAAAACAGGACGAAAAAAACCGAUGAAAAAACCGAACCAGGAACACGGGUUUUUUUUCCUUUCCGAAAGAGGCACGCCCGUGCCUCUAACGAAAUUACAACCGUGCCUCUCGCGGAAGCAAAACCGUGCCUCUCGUGAAAGAAAAAAAUAGAAAAUGUGUUUUUUUUCCUUUUCCGAAAAAGGCACGCCCGUGCCUCUCGCGAAAGCACACCCGUGCCUCUGGCGGAAGCAAAACCGUGCCUCUCGCGAAAGAAAAAAACAGAAAACGCGUUUUUUCCCUUUUCGAAAGAGGCAUGCCCGUGCCUCUCGCGAAAGCACAACCGUGCCUCUCGCGGAAGCAAAACCGUGCCUCUCGCGAAAGAAAGAAAAAACAGAAAACGCAUUUUUUUUCCUUUCCAAAAAAGGCACGCCCGUGCCUCUCGCGAAAGAAAAAAAACA
This 16171-nucleotide long non-coding RNA is filed under the name Triticum aestivum (bread wheat). RNAcentral describes it as "long non-coding RNA (TAES_LNC020760)". Lineage: Eukaryota; Viridiplantae; Streptophyta; Magnoliopsida; Poales; Poaceae. The record is from RNAcentral.